RNAcentral lists this transfer RNA (71 nucleotides) under Saccoglossus kowalevskii. Its description in RNAcentral is "tRNA-Gly". It matches the Rfam family "tRNA". From Rfam's summary of the family: Transfer RNA (tRNA) molecules are approximately 80 nucleotides in length. Their secondary structure includes four short double-helical elements and three loops (D, anti-codon, and T loops). Further hydrogen bonds mediate the characteristic L-shaped molecular structure. tRNAs have two regions of fundamental functional importance: the anti-codon, which is responsible for specific mRNA codon recognition, and the 3' end, to which the tRNAs corresponding amino acid is attached (by aminoacyl-tRNA synthetases). tRNAs cope with the degeneracy of the genetic code in two manners: having more than one tRNA (with a specific anti-codon) for a particular amino acid; and 'wobble' base-pairing, i.e. permitting non-standard base-pairing at the 3rd anti-codon position. The record is from RNAcentral. Lineage: Eukaryota; Metazoa; Hemichordata; Enteropneusta; Harrimaniidae.
GCAUUGGUGGUUCAGUGGUUGAAUUCUCGCCUGCCACGCGGGAGGCCUGGGUUCGAUUCCCGGCCAAUGCA